AAGUAGUAUCUUCAGAAAAACUAAUAUAGUUUGGCGGCAAAUAAUUAAAUCAAAGGAACUCGUGUUUUAAUCGACAAUCCUCGUUAAAUUUCUCUUUUUUACAAAGUUUAUAUACCGCCGUAUCUGACCAAAUUCAUAUAUUAAUGCUCCCAUAAAAUCUUUUUAAUUCAGGUCAAGGUGUAACUAACAAAAAAGCCAACAUAAGUUACAUUAAACACUAUUUAAGAAAUUAAAAGAAAACUCGCAAAGAAAAAGGAUUUGACUGUAAGUAUCUUUUAAUAAAAAAUACCGAAUUUAACUUUUUGUGC
Molecule: ribosomal RNA, 308 nt
Filed under: Orsolobus montt
Lineage: Eukaryota; Metazoa; Arthropoda; Arachnida; Araneae; Orsolobidae
Description: partial 12S ribosomal RNA
Source: RNAcentral